This 371-nucleotide ribosomal RNA is filed under the name Salmonella enterica. RNAcentral describes it as "bacterial SSU rRNA". It matches the Rfam family "Bacterial small subunit ribosomal RNA", at positions 1 to 368 of the family's 1533-position model. RNAcentral also lists the same sequence under 1 other name. The record is from RNAcentral. Lineage: Bacteria; Pseudomonadati; Pseudomonadota; Gammaproteobacteria; Enterobacterales; Enterobacteriaceae.
AAAUUGAAGAGUUUGAUCAUGGCUCAGAUUGAACGCUGGCGGCAGGCCUAACACAUGCAAGUCGAACGGUAACAGGAAGCAGCUUGCUGCUUUGCUGACGAGUGGCGGACGGGUGAGUAAUGUCUGGGAAACUGCCUGAUGGAGGGGGAUAACUACUGGAAACGGUGGCUAAUACCGCAUAACGUCGCAAGACCAAAGAGGGGGACCUUCGGGCCUCUUGCCAUCAGAUGUGCCCAGAUGGGAUUAGCUUGUUGGUGAGGUAACGGCUCACCAAGGCGACGAUCCCUAGCUGGUCUGAGAGGAUGACUAGCCACACUGGAACUGAGACACGGUCCAGACUCCUACGGGAGGCAGCAGUGGGGAAUAUUGCA